UACGUAGGGUGCAAGCGUUAAUCGGAAUUACUGGGCGUAAAGCGUGCGCAGGCGGUUUUGUAAGUCUGACGUGAAAUCCCCGGGCUCAACCUGGGAAUUGCGUUGGAGACUGCAAGGCUAGAAUCUGGCAGAGGGGGGUAGAAUUCCACGUGUAGCAGUGAAAUGCGUAGAGAUGUGGAGGAACACCGAUGGCGAAGGCAGCCCCCUGGGCCAAGAUUGACGCUCAUGCACGAAAGCGUGGGGAGCAAACAGG
This 253-nucleotide ribosomal RNA is filed under the name uncultured bacterium. Its description in RNAcentral is "partial 16S ribosomal RNA". It matches the Rfam family "Bacterial small subunit ribosomal RNA", at positions 524 to 776 of the family's 1533-position model. The record is from RNAcentral.